GCGGGGCUGCGGCGGGAAGCGCGGGCGGGGCCGGCGGGCCGCAGUCCCCCGCCGGUCGCCAUGGCGGGCGCGGCGCCGGGCGAGCUGUGCGGCGGCUUGCUCGACUACAAGACGGUGAAGUUCGCGCAGACGCGGAACCGGCGGGUCGGGCUGUUGCACCGCCUGCUGCAGCUCGGCGUGCUGGGCUACCUGUUCGGGUGGGUGCUGCUGGUGCGGAAGGGCUACCAGGACACCGAUGGCGCCCCCCGUGCCGCCGUUGUCACCAAGGUGAAGGGGGCGGCCGUCGCCGAGGUGGGGGGCGCGGGCCGGCGGCUGUGGGACGCGGCGGACUACGCCCGGCCCCCGCAGGGAGAAAAUGUGUUUUUCCUGGUGACCAACUUCAUCGCUACAGCAAAGCAAGCCCAGGGCACCUGUCCUGAGAGCCCCACAGUUCUUGAUGCGAUAUGCACAGAAGAUGCAGACUGUCCCAAGGGAAACCCAGUGAUUCAUGGCAACGGGAUAAAAACUGGGAGAUGUGUGAUGUUCAACACCACCCGUUCCACCUGUGAGAUCUAUGGCUGGUGUCCUGUGGAGAACAACACCCUGCCCAGGAAACCUCUUCUGGCUGAGGCGGAGAAUUUCACUCUUUUUAUAAAAAAUACUAUCCACUUCACCAAAUUUAACUUCUCCAAGUGCAAUACUUUGCAAACCAAUGACCCCACCUAUUUCAAGAGCUGCACGUACGAUCCGUUCUUCAACCCAUCCUGCCCCAUCUUCCGUGUCCGUGACAUGGUGGAGGCAGCUGGAGAGACCUUUGGAGACCUCGCACUGCUGGGGGGCAGCAUUGGAGUUCGCAUAGAAUGGGACUGCAAUCUGGAUCAGCCCACUGCCCAGUGCCAGCCGCAGUACUCCUUCAGCCUGCAGGACAGGAUGUACAACUUCAGAACUGCCUCCUACUACUGGGACUCGCAGCGGCAGCUCUACCGGAACCUCCUGAAGCUCUACGGCAUCCGCUUUGACAUCUCCGUGCACGGCCAGGCUGGGAAGUUCAGCAUAAUUCCUGCUGCUGUGAGCUUCGGCACUGGCAUCGCAUUCUUUGGUGCCGCCACAGUGGUCUGUGACCUGGUUCUGCUCUACCUGGAUGCGAAGGCUGACUUCUAUUGGAAGGAGAAGUUUGAGGAGGUAAGGAUGGGGCUGCUCUAGAGAGCUGAGGUUCAAGUGAAGCUUGCAAGUGGAUUUAUUUUCUGCCCCUUGGUUAAAACUUGAUUUGCAAGAUCUGGGAAAACUCCAGUAGAGUUGUUCUUAAUCUCUGACUCUUGGGCUUGGUGGCUGGUCUGAACUGAACCUGACAGAGAUCAAACUCUUGCAAGUUUAGUGACAACAGGCGGCUGAGUUGAAGAGGGGCCCAGCUGGUGCCCAGACUGCAGGGAAAGCUGCACAACCUCAACUACUGUCAGAGAACAAGGAGUCCCUGAGGGGACUUUACUUUAGAAACCUGGCCCAGCCCCACAUGUAUUCACCCUCUUCUGAACUGUCUGGCCAAGCUCUGUGUGGAGGGAGGGCGGCUCUUCAGAUGCUGUGGGCAAAACCCCCUAAAGGUAAGGCGGAAGCUGCAGCUUAGGGACACCAGGAAUGCUCUGCCCAAAGCACCCUUCACUCUGGAGC
Molecule: non-coding RNA, 1644 nt
Organism: Phalacrocorax carbo (great cormorant)
Lineage: Eukaryota; Metazoa; Chordata; Aves; Suliformes; Phalacrocoracidae
Source: RefSeq, a predicted model, not a curated record